RNAcentral lists this unclassified non-coding RNA (561 nucleotides) under uncultured Bartonella sp. RNAcentral describes it as "partial 16S-23S ribosomal RNA intergenic spacer". Lineage: Bacteria; Pseudomonadati; Pseudomonadota; Alphaproteobacteria; Hyphomicrobiales; Bartonellaceae. The record is from RNAcentral.
ACGUCUCGCUUUUAUAAAAACGUCAUACUUUUAAAACAGAAGCUCUUUUAAACUUUUACCAUUAAGCUUUUUACAAAGAGAGAGACAAUAUUGAUUAAUUGAAUUGAUUAAAAAAUACAAUAUUGGCCUUUUAUUUCCCUCGUUAUUUUCCUGUUUUCCCCUUACUGAAAAGGAGUGAAAAAAUUCUCGCGAAAACUUCGUUUCUAUGGAAGGCUUUGAGUUCCUAUGGAGGCUCUGAAUGCUCUUAAAAGAAUUUAUUUAAGCAUAAAUUUUCUUUAAGGGAUUAUUCAAUAAAGAAUUGGGAACAUUUCACUAGAUUUUAACAUUCUCACUCAAAGCAACUUUCAGUGAUCAGAGCAAUUUGCUGCAUAGUGUAACUGGUGGGCCUGGGAGGACUUGAACCUCCGACCUCACGCUUAUCAAGCGCGCGCUCUAACCGACUGAGCUACAAGCCCUACGAGGAAAACCAGAAAACUUUCAAUCGCAUAAUCUAAUCAAAGAAACACUCUCUUCCAUCCCCCCUCAGAGGCUUGCAUAAACAGAUCGCCAGAAGGCUUGGGA